Molecule: ribosomal RNA, 502 nt
Filed under: uncultured bacterium
Lineage: Bacteria
Description: partial 16S ribosomal RNA
Rfam family: Bacterial small subunit ribosomal RNA
Source: RNAcentral
GAUUAACGCUGGCGGCGUGCCUAACACAUGCAAGUCGAGCGGCAGCGCGUUUUACACUGAAUUCUGGAAGCUUCUAGUUGAAAGAGAAGAUUUAUUCAAGAAUUUUGUGUAAAAUGUCGGCGAGCGGCGGACGGCUGAGUAACGCGUGGGAACGUACCCCAAAGUGAGGGAUAACGCAUCGAAAGGUGUGCUAAUACCGCAUAUGGUCUUCGGAUUAAAGCCUUCGGGCGCUUUGGGAACGGCCUGCGUAAGAUUAGAUAGUUGGUGGGGUAAUGGCCUACCAAGUCGACGAUCUUUAACUGGUUUGAGAGGAUGAUCAGUCAGACUGGAACUGAGACACGGUCCAGACUCCUACGGGAGGCAGCAGUGAGGAAUCUUCCACAAUGGGCGAAAGCCUGAUGGAGCAACGCCGCGUGCAGGAUGAAGGCCUUCGGGUUGUAAACUGCUUUUAUAAGUGAGGAUUAUGACAGUAACUUAUGAAUAAGAAUCGGCUAACUACGUG